Molecule: ribosomal RNA, 497 nt
Filed under: uncultured Glomeromycotina
Lineage: Eukaryota; Fungi; Glomeromycota
Description: partial small subunit ribosomal RNA
Rfam family: Eukaryotic small subunit ribosomal RNA
Source: RNAcentral
CCAAUAGCGUAUAUUAAAGUUGUUGCAGUUAAAAAGCUCGUAGUUGAAUUUUAGGCCUGGCCGGGCGGUCCGUCUUUGGCGAGUACUGUCCUGUGUCGGGUCCACCUUCUGGUGAACCAGUAUGUCCUUUAUUGGGUGUGCCGGGGAGCCAGGACCAUUACCUUGAAAAAAUUAGAGUGUUUAAAGCAGGCAUUUGCUUGAAUAGAUUAGCAUGGAAUAAUAGAAUAGGACGUUGUGGUUCUAUUUUGUUGGUUUCUAGGACCACCGUAAUGAUUAAUAGGGAUAGUUGGGGGCAUUAGUAUUCAAUUGUCAGCGGUGAAAGUCUUGGAUUUAUUAAAGACUAACUAUUGCGAAAGCAUUUGCCAAGGAUGUUUUCAUUAAUCAAGAACGAAAGUUAGGGGAUCGAAGACGAUCAGAUCCCGUCGUAGUCUUAACCAUAAACUAUGCCGACUAGGAAUCGGGCGACGUUAUUUUCAUGACUCGAUCGGCGCCUUAUG